AUGCAGUCGACGAACCUUCGGGUUAGUGGCGGACGGGUGAGUAACGCGUGAGAAUCUGCCCUCAGGAGGGGGAUAACAGUUGGAAACGACUGCUAAUACCCCAUAUGCCGAGAGGUGAAACGAAUUUUGCCUGGGGAUGAGCUCGCGUCUGAUUAGCUUGUUGGUGGGGUAAAAGCCUACCAAGGCUUCGAUCAGUAGCUGGUCUGAGAGGACGAUCAGCCACACUGGGACUGAGAUACGGCCCAGACUCCUACGGGAGGCAGCAGUGGGGAAUUUUCCGCAAUGGGCGCAAGCCUGACGGAGCAACGCCGCGUGAGGGAUGAAGGCCUUUGGGCUGUAAACCUCUUUUCUCAAGGAAGAAGAUCUGACGGUACUUGAGGAAUAAGCCACGGCUAAUUCCGUGCCAGCAGCCGCGGUAAUACGGGAGUGGCAAGCGUUAUCCGGAAUUAUUGGGCGUAAAGCGUCCGCAGGCGGCCGUUUAAGUCUGUUGUUAAAUCGUGGAGCUCAACUCCAUCACGGCAAUGGAAACUGUUCGGCUUGAGUAUGGUAGGGGCAGAGGGAAUUUCCGGUGUAGCGGUGAAAUGCGUAGAUAUCGGGAAGAACACCAGUGGCAAAAGCGCUCUGCUGGGCCAUUACUGACGCUCAUGGACGAAAGCCACGGGAGCGAAAGGGAUUAGAUACCCCUGUAGUCCUGGCCGUAAACGAUGAACACUAGAUGUUGGGGGAAUCGACCCCUCCGGUGUCGUAGCUAACGCGUUAAGUGUUCCGCCUGGGGAGUACGCCGCAAGUGUGAAAC
Molecule: ribosomal RNA, 796 nt
Filed under: uncultured bacterium
Lineage: Bacteria
Description: bacterial SSU rRNA
Rfam family: Bacterial small subunit ribosomal RNA
Source: RNAcentral